This 561-nucleotide unclassified non-coding RNA is filed under the name Hevea brasiliensis (rubber tree). Lineage: Eukaryota; Viridiplantae; Streptophyta; Magnoliopsida; Malpighiales; Euphorbiaceae. The record is from RNAcentral.
AUAAUUUUCCCUCUGGAAGAUGGAGGAGGAGAAGAAGAAGAAGGAGAUGGGCAAUAUUGCAAAAGCUUCAACAGCCGAGAACUCCUCCCGAUCGGUAUCAGCUCUACAAGCCAUUGUCUAUCCACCUGAUCUGUGGACUUGGUUUAGCUAUAGCUUUAUGGGUAGACCACAAUCUCUACUCCAUUAAUCUAGUGUCUGACCCUUCACGCACUCUACGUCUGAUCUGGAUUGUCGAGAGUCCAAUCGUGACACUUCUUUACAGUUGGUUNNNAAUCCUGAGCAAUGCUCGUACUUGAAAGCUGUAGGACGAGGCAUAUUAGCUCUUCCUGUUGGGGCUCUUGUGACUGCACUUGGAGCAAUUGUUUUAGGCGCACCUGUUGGCAUCGAUUACUUACCAAAGACCAUUAAUUGGUCUCUUCUUAUGUCAUCAUGCAUGUUUGUGCCUGCAGCUUCUGUUUUUGGUUCAUCAUGGUCACAUUGGCAACGUAUUUUCGUAUAUUUGCACAUACAAAGCCAAAUGAAUCUUUAGAGUAUAUGAUUUGUAUACCAGCACAUGGGGCU